Long non-coding RNA from Neopelma chrysocephalum (saffron-crested tyrant-manakin), 108 nucleotides. RefSeq lists it as uncharacterized. The record is from RefSeq and is a predicted model, not a curated record. The transcript is spliced from 2 exons. NCBI's taxonomy places the organism in Eukaryota, Metazoa, Chordata, Aves, Passeriformes, Pipridae.
GGAGAGGCUGCGGGGGCCGCGGGGGCUGUGGGAAUGAAGGAGGAUGACCCAGGAAUUAUUUCUCUGACGACAAAGCUGUGGAAACAACUACAAAUGUUCACCAAAAAA